GGGGGGGGGGGGGGGGGGGGGGGGGAGGGGGGGGGGGGGGGAGCGGGCGGGGGGGGUGCGCGGCGGAGGGGAGGGGCGGGCGGGGGAGGAACGCGUGGAUAACCGACCGAGAAGGCGGGGAGAACGUGGGGCAACCGGAGCUGAGACCGGAUAAUAUAUUGAACCGCAGGGUUCAAGAGUGAAAGACGGUUGUGCGGUCACUGAGAGAGGGAUCCGCGCCGCAUUAGCUAGUUGGUAAGGUAACGGCUUACCAAGGCUCAGAUGCGUAGCCGACCUGCGAGGGUGAUCGGCCAAACUGGACCUGAGACACGGUCCAGACUCCUACGUGAGGCAGCAGUAGGGAAUCUUCCGCAAUGGGCGAAAGCCUGACGGAGCAACGCCGCGUGAGUGAUGAAGGUCUUCGGAUCGUAAAACUCUGUUAUUAGGGAAGAACAAAUGUGUAAGUAACUAUGCACGUCUUGACGGUACCUAAUCAGAAAGCCACGGCUAACUACGUG
This 497-nucleotide ribosomal RNA is filed under the name uncultured bacterium. RNAcentral's name for it is "partial 16S ribosomal RNA". It matches the Rfam family "Bacterial small subunit ribosomal RNA", at positions 35 to 507 of the family's 1533-position model. The record is from RNAcentral.